GACGAACGCUGGCGGCGUGCCUAACACAUGCAAGUCGAACGUGAGUGUCUUUUUUCGCAAGAUCAAAGACAUUUGAGUGGCGAACGGGUGAGUAACACGUGAGUAACUCGCCUUCCGGUGGGGGAUAACUGCCCGAAAGAACAGCUAAUACCCCAUAUGCUCACUGACCGCAGGGUCAGGGAGGAAAGUGGGCUCCGCAAGGAGCUCGCGCCAGAAGAGAGGCUCGCGCCCCAUCAGCUGGUUGGUGAGGUAACGGCCCACCAAGGCGAUGACGGGUAGCUGGUCUGAGAGGAUGGUCAGCCACACUGGGACUGAGACACGGCCCAGACUCCUACGGGAGGCUG
This 344-nucleotide ribosomal RNA is filed under the name uncultured Atribacterota bacterium. Its description in RNAcentral is "bacterial SSU rRNA". It matches the Rfam family "Bacterial small subunit ribosomal RNA", at positions 28 to 351 of the family's 1533-position model. Lineage: Bacteria; Pseudomonadati; Atribacterota. The record is from RNAcentral.